ACUCAAAGGAAUUGACGGGGACCCGCACAAGCGGUGGAGUAUGUGGUUUAAUUCGAAGCUACGCGAAGAACCUUACCAGCUCUUGACAUGUUGAUCGUAGUCUAGGGAGACCUAGACGUCAUUUAGUUGGAUCAAACACAGGUGUUGCAUGGCUGUCGUCAGUUCGUGUCGUGAGAUGUUGGGUUAAGUCCCGCAACGAACGCAACCCUUGCCGUCAGUUGCCAGCAUUCAGUUGGGCACUUUGGCGGAACUGCCGGUGAUAAGCCGGAGGAAGGUGGGGACGACGUCAAGUCAUCAUGGCCCUUAUGGGCUGGGCUACACACGUACUACAAUGGUGAUGACAAAGCGCAGAGCAAGUGUGCGAACACAAGCCAAUCGCUAAAAUUCACCUCAGUUCGGAUUGUUCUCUGCAACUCGAGAGCAUGAAGUUGGAAUCGCUAGUAAUCGUAGAUCAGCACGCUACGGUGAAUACGUUCCCGGGUCUUGUACACACCGCCCGU
Molecule: ribosomal RNA, 500 nt
Filed under: uncultured bacterium
Lineage: Bacteria
Description: partial 16S ribosomal RNA
Rfam family: Bacterial small subunit ribosomal RNA
Source: RNAcentral